UACGUAGGGUCCAAGCGUUAAUCGGAAUUACUGGGCGUAAAGCGUGCGCAGGCGGUUUGCUAAGACAGGUGUGAAAUCCCCGGGCUCAACCUGGGAACUGCGCUUGUAACUAGCAGGCUAGAGUGCGGCAGAGGGGGGUGGAAUUCCACGUGUAGCAGUGAAAUGCGUAGAUAUGUGGAGGAACACCGAUGGCGAAGGCAGCCCCCUGGGUCGACACUGACGCUCAUGCACAAAAGCGUGGGGAGCAAACAGG
Molecule: ribosomal RNA, 253 nt
Filed under: uncultured bacterium
Lineage: Bacteria
Description: partial 16S ribosomal RNA
Rfam family: Bacterial small subunit ribosomal RNA
Source: RNAcentral